RNAcentral lists this ribosomal RNA (759 nucleotides) under uncultured Neisseria sp. Its description in RNAcentral is "bacterial SSU rRNA". It matches the Rfam family "Bacterial small subunit ribosomal RNA", at positions 28 to 776 of the family's 1533-position model. The record is from RNAcentral. Lineage: Bacteria; Pseudomonadati; Pseudomonadota; Betaproteobacteria; Neisseriales; Neisseriaceae.
AUUGAACGCUGGCGGCAUGCUUUACACAUGCAAGUCGGACGGCAGCACAGAGAAGCUUGCUUCUUGGGUGGCGAGUGGCGAACGGGUGAGUAACAUAUCGGGACGUACCGGGCAGUGGGGGAUAACUAAUCGAAAGAUUAGCUAAUACCGCAUAUCUUCUGAGGAAGAAAGCAGGGGACCAUUUGGCCUUGCGCUGUUUGAGCGGCCGAUAUCUGAUUAGCUAGUUGGUGGGGUAAAGGCCUACCAAGGCGACGAUCAGUAGCGGGUCUGAGAGGAUGAUCCGCCACACUGGGACUGAGACACGGCCCAGACUCCUACGGGAGGCAGCAGUGGGGAAUUUUGGACAAUGGGCGCAAGCCUGAUCCAGCCAUGCCGCGUGUCUGAAGAAGGCCUUCGGGUUGUAAAGGACUUUUGUCAGGGAAGAAAAGGGCGGGGUUAAUACCCCUGUCUGAUGACGGUACCUGAAGAAUAAGCACCGGCUAACUACGUGCCAGCAGCCGCGGUAAUACGUAGGGUGCGAGCGUUAAUCGGAAUUACUGGGCGUAAAGCGGGCGCAGACGGUUACUUAAGCAGGAUGUGAAAUCCCCGGGCUCAACCUGGGAACUGCGUUCUGAACUGGGUGACUAGAGUGUGUCAGAGGGAGGUAGAAUUCCACGUGUAGCAGUGAAAUGCGUAGAGAUGUGGAGGAAUACCGAUGGCGAAGGCAGCCUCCUGGGAUAACACUGACGUUCAUGCCCGAAAGCGUGGGUAGCAAACAGG